RNAcentral lists this ribosomal RNA (253 nucleotides) under uncultured bacterium. Its description in RNAcentral is "partial 16S ribosomal RNA". It matches the Rfam family "Bacterial small subunit ribosomal RNA", at positions 524 to 776 of the family's 1533-position model. The record is from RNAcentral.
UACAGAGACUGCAAGCGUUGUUCGGAAUUACUGGGCGUAAAGGGCGCGUAGGCGGCCUUCUAAGUCGAACGUGAAAUCCCUGGGCUUAACCCAGGAACUGCGUCCGAUACUGGAAGGCUUGAAUCCGGGAGAGGGAUGCGGAAUUCCAGGUGUAGCGGUGAAAUGCGUAGAUAUCUGGAGGAACACCGGUGGCGAAGGCGGCAUCCUGGACCGGUAUUGACGCUGAGGCGCGAAAGCCAGGGGAGCAAACGGG